Long non-coding RNA from Meriones unguiculatus (Mongolian gerbil), 528 nucleotides. RefSeq lists it as uncharacterized. Lineage: Eukaryota; Metazoa; Chordata; Mammalia; Rodentia; Muridae. The record is from RefSeq and is a predicted model, not a curated record. The transcript is spliced from 4 exons.
GAACUAACGAAGGCAAGGCUCCCGGGCUUUGCCAGUGGGGCAUCUGGCUGAAAAAUCUGUGGAUGAAUCAGCACGAGCGCAUGCUCAGUGUUAAAGCGGUGUGUUGUAGAGGCUCUCCCUGACGGUGUCAUGUGAAAAGAUCACUCUUUCCCCCCUGAGAUCUUGAUGUAGAGCAAACAUGAAGAAAAGAAACAAGAUAAUGAAGAAAGUUGGGGCAUGUUAAUGUUAACUCAACUGCAAAAGGGUCUGACUUUAAUACACAUCUCACAGAGCCUGGAGGCUGUGUCUGUGUCUCGUGGGUUAGGAGAAGGAAACCAGACUGCUUGGCAGACAGAAAAGGCCAAGCUGGUGGCUGCUGAGGUGAUGUGACUUGAGAGGAUGCUGGAAUACACUCUCUGGAAGCUAAAUUGGAGGAGAUUGCAGGAAUGAUGAGACCCUAAAAGAUGUUCCUUGCCACCACCAGGCAAACCUGGUUCCAGACUGAAAAAGGAAAAAGAAAAAGAAAAAAGAAAAGAAAUAAAAUGGCAA